Molecule: non-coding RNA, 115 nt
Rfam family: SAM riboswitch aptamer (S box leader)
About the family: The SAM riboswitch is found upstream of a number of genes which code for proteins involved in methionine or cysteine biosynthesis in Gram-positive bacteria.
UUCUUAUUCAGAGAGGUGGAGGGACUGGCCCUUAGAUACCUCGGCAACGGACCAAUGAACAGGAUGUUCAUAAGGAACCGUGCCAAUUCCUGCGGCGAAAGUCGGAAAAUAAGAA